This 537-nucleotide long non-coding RNA is filed under the name Hordeum vulgare. RNAcentral describes it as "long non-coding RNA (HVUL_LNC016519)". Lineage: Eukaryota; Viridiplantae; Streptophyta; Magnoliopsida; Poales; Poaceae. The record is from RNAcentral.
GAUGACGAAGAUCUUGGGGGGCUGGAUGAGCUCCGCCGGGUCGAGGAGGCCAGUGACGUGGUUGUAGAUUGGCUUCUCAAUAGCCUUGCCUUCUUUGAUUGCCUUCACUUGCUCAUACAUGAGAUCAAAGUCGUUUGCCUUGGGGUCCAGGGCAGUCACACCUUUCUCCUUCCUCCCGGUUCUGUCCAAGGAAUGGUAGUCAUCAAGGCAUAUGACCGUCGUCGUGUCGCUGAUGAGCGUGUUCGAGUCUGGGUUGCCGCCCUUGGGUGGCUCUGCAGCACCUCCAAACACGCUGGUGAGCCGGCGCAUGAAGGUGGAUUUCCCACAUCCCGAGUCUGCUGCCAGGCCAAUCACUAUUGGCUUCUCAACUGCGCAUGAGACCUGGAAGGUCCUUGCUCCAUGCCUCGUGGUACUCCUCCUGCUGCUUCUGGUUGUGAAGAGGAUGACUUGGUUCUGCCUGAAGCCUGAGUUUGGGAUGGUGGUGCAUGGGGAGCGCAGGGAUGUGGUGGUGUGUGGGCUGCAGAAUGCCAUGUUUGC